GACGAACGCUGGCGGCGUGCUUAACACAUGCAAGUCGAACGGAAAGGCCCUGCUUUUGUGGGGUGCUCGAGUGGCGAACGGGUGAGUAACACGUGAGUAACCUGCCCUUGACUUUGGGAUAACUUCAGGAAACUGGGGCUAAUACCGGAUAGGAGCUCCUGCUGCAUGGUGGGGGUUGGAAAGUUUCGGCGGUUGGGGAUGGACUCGCGGCUUAUCAGCUUGUUGGUGGGGUAGUGGCUUACCAAGGCUUUGACGGGUAGCCGGCCUGAGAGGGUGACCGGCCACAUUGGGACUGAGAUACGGCCCAGACUCCUACGGGAGGCAACAGUGGGGAAUAGUGCACAAUGGGCGGAAGCCUGAUGCAGCAACGCCGCGUGCGGGAUGACGGCCUUCGGGUUGUAAACCGCUUUCGCCUGUGACGAAGCGUGAGUGACGGGAAUGGGGAAAGAAGCACCGGCUAACUACGU
RNAcentral lists this ribosomal RNA (467 nucleotides) under uncultured bacterium. RNAcentral's name for it is "partial 16S ribosomal RNA". It matches the Rfam family "Bacterial small subunit ribosomal RNA", at positions 28 to 506 of the family's 1533-position model. The record is from RNAcentral.